Trichonephila clavipes is the source of this 72-nucleotide non-coding RNA. The record is from the annotation of a GenBank genome assembly. Lineage: Eukaryota; Metazoa; Arthropoda; Arachnida; Araneae; Nephilidae.
UCCCCUGUAGUGCAUUGAAUAGCACGUUGGACUUUUAAUCCAAAGAUCGUGGGUUUGAAUCCACCUGGGAUG